Molecule: long non-coding RNA, 1217 nt
Filed under: Mytilus galloprovincialis (Mediterranean mussel)
Lineage: Eukaryota; Metazoa; Mollusca; Bivalvia; Mytilida; Mytilidae
Source: RNAcentral
CUAACAUCAUAGUACUAUCUUACUACACAAUAAAAACCAAUUAUACCAAGCAUGUUUCAAUAGAUAGACCAUCUUACAUCAUAGUACUAUCUUACUACACCAUAAAAACCAAUUAUACCAAGGAUGUUGCAAUAGAUAGACAAUCUAACAGCACAGUACUAUCUUACUACACAAUAAAAACCAAUUAUACCAAGCAUGUUUCAUUAGAUAGACCAUCUAACAUCAUAUUACUAUCUUUCUACACAAUAAAAACCAAUUAUACCAAGCAUGUUUCAUUAGAUAGACCAUCUAACAUCAUAGUACUAUCUUUCUACGCAAUAAAAACCAAUUAUACCAAGCAUUUUUCAUUAGAUACCCCAUCUAACAUCAUAGUACUAUCUUUCUACGCAAUAAAAACCAAUUAUACCAAGCAUGUUUUAUUAGAUAGACCAUCUAACAUCAUAGUACUAUCUUUCUACACAAUAAAAACCAAUUAUACCAAGCAUGUUUCAUUAGAUAGACCAUCUAACAUCAUAGUACUAUCUUACUACACAAUAAAAACCAAUUAUACCAAGCAUGUUUCAUUGGAUAGACCAUCUUACAUCAUAGUACUAUCUUUCUACACAAUAAAAACCAAUUAUACCAAGCAUGUUUCAUUAAAUAGACCAUAUAACAUCAUAGUACUAUCUUUCUACACAAUGAAAACCAAUUAUACCAAGCAUGUGUCAAUAGAUAGACCAUCUAACAUUAAAGUACUAUCUUACUUCACAAUAAAAACCAAUUAUACCAAGCAUGUUUCAAUAAAUAGACCAUCUAACAUCAUAGUACUAUCUUACUACACAAUAAAAACCAAUUAUACCAAGCAAGUUUCAUAAUAUAGACCAUCUAAAAUCAUCUAACAUCAUAGUACUAUCUUACUACACAAUAAAAACCAAUUAUACCAAGCAUGUUUCAAUAGAUAGACCAUCUAACAUCAUAGUUCUAUCUUACUACACCAUAAAACCAAUUAUACCAAGCAUGUUUCAAUAGAUAGACAAUCUAACAGCACAGUACUAUCUUACUACACAAUAAAAACCAAUUAUACCAAGCAUGUUUCAUUAGAUAAACAAUCUAACAUCAUAGUAAUAUCUUACUACACAAUAAAAACCAAUUAUACCAAGCAUGUUUCAUUAGAUAGACCAUCUAACAUCAUAGUACUAUCUUUCUACACAAUAAAAACCAAUUAUACCAAGAAUGUU